Molecule: unclassified non-coding RNA, 253 nt
Filed under: uncultured Caryophanales bacterium
Lineage: Bacteria; Bacillati; Bacillota; Bacilli; Caryophanales
Description: uncultured Bacillales bacterium contains 16S-23S intergenic spacer region
Rfam family: Bacterial small subunit ribosomal RNA
Source: RNAcentral
UACGUAGGUGGCAAGCGUUGUUCGGAUUUAUUGGGCGUAAAGGGCGCGCAGGCGGCUUCUUAAGUCUGAUGUGAAAGCCCCCGGCGUAACCGGGGAGGGCCAUUGGAAACUGGGAGGCUUGAGUAUAGGAGAGAAGAGUGGAAUUCCACGUGUAGCGGUGAAAUGCGUAGAGAUGUGGAGGAACACCAGUGGCGAAGGCGACUCUUUGGCCUAUAACUGACGCUGAGGCGCGAAAACGUGGGGAGCAAGCAGG